AGCGAACGCUGGCGGCGUGCCUAACACAUGCAAGUCGAACGUGAAAAGGGAAACCUGAGUAAAGUGGCGUACGGGUGAGUAACGCGUAGGUAAUCUACCCCAGAAUCUGGAAUAACCUGCCGAAAGGCGGGCUAAUACUGGAUAGAGCGAGGGAACUCGUAAGAGAGUUUUUCGGGAAAGGGAGCCCGCAAGGGCCUUCGUUCUGGGAUGAGCCUGCGUCUCAUUAGCUAGUUGGUAAGGUAACGGCUUACCAAGGCGAUGAUGAGUAGCUGGUCUGAGAGGAUGAUCAGCCACACUGGGACUGAAACACGGUCCAGACUCCUACGGGAGGCAGCAGUGGGGAAUCUUGCGCAAUGGACGAAAGUCUGACGCAGCCACGCCGCGUGAGUGAAGAAGGCCUUCGGGUUGUAAAGCUCUGUCGGAUGGGACGAACAUCUUCAUAGUGAAUAGCUAUGAGGACUGACGGUACCAUCAAAGGAAGCACCGGCUAACUCCGUG
RNAcentral lists this ribosomal RNA (498 nucleotides) under uncultured bacterium. RNAcentral's name for it is "partial 16S ribosomal RNA". It matches the Rfam family "Bacterial small subunit ribosomal RNA", at positions 29 to 507 of the family's 1533-position model. The record is from RNAcentral.